GUUUUUAUAAAUGAUUGUAGAUAAAAAAAUUUUAAAAAAUUAACUGAAUAAUUUAUAUAUUUUUUAUAAAGAAUAUUUGAAAAAUAUUAAAUAUUUUGAAUUUUGAUCACUUUGAUAUAUAUAAAUUUAGAGAAUUUAAAUUCUAUAUAAAGAUAUUUUUUUUAGAUUGUUAAAUUUAAAUCUUUAAAAACU
Molecule: transfer RNA, 192 nt
Filed under: Pneumocystis jirovecii
Lineage: Eukaryota; Fungi; Ascomycota; Pneumocystomycetes; Pneumocystales; Pneumocystaceae
Description: tRNA-Pseudo(TTA)
Source: RNAcentral